This 1079-nucleotide unclassified non-coding RNA is filed under the name Melitaea cinxia (Glanville fritillary). RNAcentral describes it as "misc RNA ENSMCXG00005018905.1". The record is from RNAcentral. Lineage: Eukaryota; Metazoa; Arthropoda; Insecta; Lepidoptera; Nymphalidae.
AGAACCAGUGUUCACUACGUCGCGUUUUGGAAAACCAGUAAUAUUACUAGGAGGAUACAGGUUUAAUAAGUACUGGAGGUGUAAGGGGCCGAAAGCCAGAAGAACCGAUAUACACAACAUCGCGUUUCGGGCGUCCUGUUAUUCUUCUUGGAAAGUAUCGCUUCAACAGACAGACAAAGUAUAAGGGCGUGAAGGCGAUUUGGUUGUGUUCUAAUACCAGAGGAUGUCGUGCUUCAAUCGUUACCAUCGAGGACAAUAUUGUUAGAAUUAAUAAUAAUCAUACACACUGAAAAUUAUUGACGUCCGAUACUAUUUAAUAUAUGUAUUUUAGAGGUAUUUUGUAAUCCUAAUAUUUUUAUUCUAGAGUAGCCAUACAAUUUCGAUUUUGUUUACGCUUCGAGCUAUAAUAUCCCAGAGCUGUGCAUAGGUCUCUUCCUCAUGUUGGAGAAGGAUCAGAGCUUAAUCCACUUAAUCAUUUAAUUUUCGGUUUUGUUAAUUAUAUAAUAUUUUACAGUCAACUAAUUCUCACGAACCUGUAGCCCACAAAGUGCAGUUAUUUUGCUCGGUUACCACUAGCUUUUCUUAGUUUAAGGGACAGGGUUCCAAUUAUUUUGAAUCCACUUAUAAAACAGGAGGAGGUUGUCUAUUUUACUGUAUUGUAUUUAUGUGUACUUUAUAACUUUUUACUGCGUGUACCGAUUUUGAUGAUUUUUUUUUUAAUCGAAAGCUGUUGCUUGUCAUGUAAUGCCCAUUUCAAAUUGAUUGAGAUCUGACGAGCACUUUUUGAGUAAUCCGUAAUAAUUAUAUAUAUUCUCUUAUUUAACUGAAUAUUUAUUAAAGUAUCUACCUACCUACGGUCUUGUUGGCACUUUUUGAUGCAAAUUUGAUUCGGUUCUUUGUCGUUCACGAGUAAACACAGUUAUUGUAUAACAAAGUUUAAUAAAAGAAGAUUUCUUAUACCUUAUCUAUUGAAAUAUUACCUUUAAACAAUGUAAUAGUUAUUAGCAUUGAUUGUAUUGUAUUUUUAUUAACUGUUGUAUCAAAUUAGUAAUAAAAUAUAAAUUGGCGUUUAUUGUUUA